GGUCAGCAGCAGCCUCGUUAGUUCUCUACACUGUGAAAUCAAAAAGAUUUGAGAGACGAUCUGUAGAUUAAGCAAACGAAGAAGAAGAUGAAGAAACAAGAAGAAGAAGAAGCUGGUGUUGUAAUAAGAAGAAUAAGAAGAAAAGCUGGUAAAUUUAAGUUAGUUUGGGUAUGAGCGGGCUGGGAAUUGGGGUUUUCUUAACUGGUUUUCAUUCGAUCAGUAUGUGAUUUUGCUUACAGUUUUCAAAUUUUCAUAACUGGUUUCCAUGAGUCCAUUGUUUUAAGCUUUCGACCAUCAUUUUUGGGUUGUUUUUGGAACUUGGACAGUGCAGAAAUUAGAAAUUGCUGGGCAAAAUUAAAGUUAUUUUGGAAGUAUUAGAAACUGGAUGGAAAGAUCCAAAGAAGUUACCCGUAUCAUCGCAGAACAACAGCAUCAAUCAUCUACCAAAGCAGGCAGCUGAAUCAAUUGAAGAAUUGUGAAACGUAGAGAGGAAUUGGGGAUCAUCUUCAAUCAGCAUUACAGAUUCCAAUUUCACUGUAAGUUUCGAGGAGAAGCUAAUUAUACGCACACCCGGAGGUAUAUGUAAAGGUUAGGGGUCCUCAUUAGGGAAUGUUGUUGCCAUAUGAGGCCUUGGUCAUCAAAUCUUAAAGAGCGCAACUCUUUCUUUGACUAGAAACUGUUGGCCCUUUUCAAAUAUGGUUUUCCAAGCUGCCCCUACUCUAACAGUUGCUGUUGGACCGACUAUUCCGAGGGAUCUACAAAGGGGUUUGCAGCUUCUGAACAGCGCAGACUUCAUUUGUAGAGGUUAGUGUUUCUGGCACAGGAGAACAUGUGCUUGUAGCUGCAGGAGGGAUGCAUACAGGAUUUGAAAGAGAGGUUUGCAAGGGUUAAUCUGAAUGUCUCAAAACCCCUUGCUUCUAUUCGGUGACCACUGAAGGGGAUGGAUCCAAUUUCCUGGAUAAUCUGAAAGUCUUGACUGGUAGCUUAGUUUAUGUGGAGAAAACAACUCCCAAUGGUCGAUGUGUUGUUCGGGUGGGGGUACAAAGUUGCUUGAGGAAAGUUCCGAUCUACUUGGAGAAAUUCUAGAAGCGAGAACCCGGGUAAAGAAACAACAAACUGUUUGCAACACUUGGAGAACUUCAGUAUUACAUGAUAGUGUACUCGAAGCACUUAAACAACAGAAGAUGGAUGUUGUGCAGGAUCAUGCUGCGAGUGAAAAAAACUCAACAAGGAUAAUGCUGAUAAAUGUAGAAAUGUGUGGCUUCAGUUGCUGUGGAGAAUCUGGGCUCUUGGACCUAGGAGUGUUUGUCCUAAUAUUCUUCUCGUCUCCAGAAGCCAAAGAAGAAAUUGAUGAUCAUUCAGUUCUAAUUCAAGAUUUUCCUCUUCUUGCAUCUCAGAGAUCAGAGUUUGUCGAUGAGAAGACUAGUGAUGAAAUGUGGCUUUUGAAAAAUCUGUAGAAACAAGCAGUUCCCUUUUUAUGGAAGCAGAGACUCUCAUGAGCAGUGUUUUAUCUGGGUUUCAGCUUGCUACUGGAGCUGGACCAUUAUGUGAUGAAACUAUGUGGGGGUUGGCCUUUAUUAUUGAAGCUAAUGUUAUUACAGUGGAGAUUAAUAUAUCCAGUGAUCUGAUGUGCAUGUUUCUACUCAAUUAUACUCAAUUAGCAGAUCACUAUGGCGUCUUCACUGGACAGAUAAUGACUGCAGUGAAGGAAGCAUGUAGAAUGGCCGUACUUCAUAAGAAACCUUGUCUUGUGGAAGCCAUGUGUACUUAUUGUGAAUUGAACACCCCAACUGGACAUUUGAGUCUCCAUGUAUGCUGUUCUAUCUAAGAGAUGUGCCCGAGUUUUGAAGGAUGGGAUGCAACAAGGGUCUUCUUUGUCCACAGUGCAUGCAUAUCUGCCGGUUACUGAAAGUUCAGGUUUUGCACGGGAGCUUCUAGAAAAAUCUGGAGCUUAAGUGCAUUACUUGUACUUGGUCAUUGGGAAGAGCUUCCGGAAGAUUCUUUCUUUGUCCCUUAGACAGAAGAAGAAAUCAAAGUGUUUAGAGAUGGUUCUAGUAUUCUGCCAAACACAGCUAGGAAGCUCAUUGGUGCACUAAGGACACGAAAAGGUCUUCCAGUUAAAUGCAUAUGGCUAAAGUAACUGCAGCAUUUCUCUCAUACUUCUGGAUAUGGAGAUGACCCAAUAUUCUUGACCCUGAGGAAUCCUGAUUGGAUGCUAAGGCUGAAAGAAGAAUGACCCAACCUGCAGCAACAGUUGAUGGCCAGUAGCACAGCAGGAAAGUUGGUGAAUUUGAUUGCUAUGGGGAAUUUUGACAGUUUGUCACAGAAAAACAGCUUAUAGGAUAUGGGUGGGUACGAGAAGCAAAUUACCAAAAUGCUUUCUUUGGUGGUCUGUUAUGGAUGUAUAGUGCCUUGUCUGUUAUGGUUUUUGUGAUUUCAGUGAAAUCGUUCCAAGCUGAUUGGGAAAUGUCUUUAAUUUCUUAAAUCCGAGAUGCUUUGAGGAAGUUUUAAUGGCCGCAGCUGGUGAAAUCCCAAUUAUUAGGGGGAUAAGGGUGGAAGCCACAACCAGGUCAUUCAUUUAGGCUGGAUUCAUCUGUAGAUGUUAAUUUGGGAGGCCUGGGAGUGGCAACAAAUUUUAUUAUUGUUGAGAUUCUUUGCAUAGUUUUCAUUUUUCAACAUUGGAUAAGAACAAAUAAAAAAAUAAAAAAUAUUUUUAUGACA
This is a long non-coding RNA of Papaver somniferum (opium poppy), 2721 nucleotides long. RefSeq lists it as uncharacterized. The record is from RefSeq and is a predicted model, not a curated record. The transcript has 3 exons. Lineage: Eukaryota; Viridiplantae; Streptophyta; Magnoliopsida; Ranunculales; Papaveraceae.